GGGAAAGUAGCUCAGUGGUAGAGUGCUUGCCUUGCAUGCAUGAGGCCCUGAGUUUGAUUCCUCAGCACCA
Molecule: non-coding RNA, 70 nt
Organism: Dipodomys ordii (Ord's kangaroo rat)
Lineage: Eukaryota; Metazoa; Chordata; Mammalia; Rodentia; Heteromyidae
Source: Rfam